This 907-nucleotide long non-coding RNA is filed under the name Cyanistes caeruleus (blue tit). RNAcentral describes it as "lncRNA (ENSCCEG00000017800.1)". The record is from RNAcentral. Lineage: Eukaryota; Metazoa; Chordata; Aves; Passeriformes; Paridae.
GGAGAAAAGGAUCCCUGGAAAAAGGCUGUUCACUGAAGAUUAAUGCAGACACUUGAAGAUGAAUUUGAACCAUUUGGAUUUCUGGGUAUGGUUCGUGCAAUCCCUGCCCAGGGACCACGUCUGAAGCUGGGGCAUGAAAUGAGAAGAGAAACCCAAAUCUAAAGGACUGAAUUGGAAUGAGUGGGUCCAAGGUGUGGCAAUGUGUCUAAAUCCACGCUGAAAUCUAAUCCUACCUUGGUUAACAUAACAGAGAGAACAGGAAGCGCUGUGAAGGAAUUUUUCAUUCCCUGGGACGUCUUUGAUCCCGCUCCCCUCCCUUUUCCUAUCAGAUCCCUUUCGGUGCCUUUCUCCAUAGGGAAUUCCUGGCUCUGUGCAAGGAGCUCAGACACCUUUCCCAGGAGAAAACUCCAGCAGGUUUGGAACACAAUCUUCCCUGAACGGAUCAGCACCUGGAGCUCUCCCGUGGAUGAGCAAAAGGGAUUAAUGAAUUUUCAUUAUUUGCCAACACAAAGUCAUAUCCUAGAGGUGACAACAUCCAGAAUUUUCCAUCUGACCCACCCAACCUUUCAGAUCUUCCAGCUGUUCCAAGGGCUUUGUUGGGUUAAGUGCAGAAAGGGCUGGAGGCAAAGCUGUGUUUUGUACUCCACCAUAUCGCUUCCAUAGACCAGUUAAAGGUGUAAAUAAUAGAAACAACUUCUUUCAAAACUGCAAUUAAAAAAGAGGGGGGGAAAAAAAAAAAUCUCAGAGUAAUUAAACUUAAUUUUGUUUCUAAUUAGAUGCUGGUUCUAGAAACCAGUCCAGAGCUACUCUUUGCAUGGUGUUUGCAAGUUCUCUUUACCAGAUGAGCUCCUGGAGUGACAAGUGGAGAUCUAAUAAACCUCCUGAUCCUGCUCUGCCCCUGUGAUAA